CUUAUACUAGCUCAGUCGGUAGAGCGUGAGACUCUUAAUCUCAAGGUUGUAGCCUUCUCACUAGUAGGGCAUGAGA
This 76-nucleotide transfer RNA is filed under the name Phoenicopterus ruber ruber. Lineage: Eukaryota; Metazoa; Chordata; Aves; Phoenicopteriformes; Phoenicopteridae. The record is from Rfam by way of RNAcentral.